RNAcentral lists this ribosomal RNA (262 nucleotides) under uncultured bacterium. RNAcentral's name for it is "partial 16S ribosomal RNA". It matches the Rfam family "Bacterial small subunit ribosomal RNA", at positions 793 to 1055 of the family's 1533-position model. The record is from RNAcentral.
GUCCACGCCGUAAACGAUGGGUGCUAGGUGUGGGGGGUGUCGACUCCCUCCGUGCCGAAGCUAACGCAUUAAGCACCCCGCCUGGGGAGUACGGCCGCAAGGCUAAAACUCAAAGGAAUUGACGGGGCCCGCACAAGCAGCGGAGCAUGUGGUUUAAUUCGACGCAACGCGAAGAACCUUACCUAGGCUUGACAUGCACGGGAAUGUCGUAGAAAUACGGCAGCCCUUCGGGGCUCGUGCACAGGUGUUGCAUGGCUGUCGU